CGUGAGGGAGGAGGCUCUUGGGUUGUAAACCUCUUUUAUCAGGGAAGAAGAUCUGACGGUACCUGAUGAAUCAGCAUCGGCUAACUCCGUGCCAGCAGCCGCGGUAAUACGGAGGAUGCAAGCGUUAUCCGGAUUUAUUGGGCGUAAAGCGUCCGCAGGUGGUUUUUCAAGUUUGCUGUUAAAGCGCAGAGCUUAACUCUGUAACGGCGGUGGAAACUGAGAGACUAGAGUAUGGUAGGGGUAGCGGGAAUUCCCAGUGUAGCGGUGAAAUGCGUAGAUAUUGGGAAGAACACCAGCGGCGAAAGCGCGCUACUGGGCCAUAACUGACACUCAUGGACGAAAGCUAGGGGAGCGAAAGGGAUUAGAUACCCCCUGUAAACGAUGGGUACUAGGUGUUGACCGUAUCGCCCGGUCAGUGCCGUAGCUAACGCGUUAAGUACCCCGCCUGGGGAGUAUGCACGCAAGUGUGAAACUCAAAGGAAUUGACGGGGCCCGCACAAGCGGUGGAGUAUGUGGUUUAA
RNAcentral lists this ribosomal RNA (521 nucleotides) under Stenomitos frigidus PJ S22. RNAcentral's name for it is "bacterial SSU rRNA". It matches the Rfam family "Bacterial small subunit ribosomal RNA", at positions 400 to 949 of the family's 1533-position model. Lineage: Bacteria; Bacillati; Cyanobacteriota; Cyanophyceae; Leptolyngbyales; Leptolyngbyaceae. The record is from RNAcentral.